AGUCGAACGGGAUUAGGGGGCUUGCUCCUUAAUCUAGUGGCGCACGGGUGAGUAACGCGUAGAUAAUCUGCCUGAUGAUCUGGGAUAACACUUCGAAAGGGGUGCUAAUACCGGAUAAGCCCACGGGGUCUUUGGACUUUGCGGGAAAAGGGGGGGACCAUUUGGCCUUCUGUCAUCAGAUGAGUCUGCGUACCAUUAGCUAGUUGGUAGGGUAAAGGCCUACCAAGGCUACGAUGGUUAGCUGGUCUGAGAGGAUGAUCAGCCACACUGGAACUGAGACACGGUCCAGACUCCUACGGGAGGCAGCAGUGGGGAAUUUUGCGCAAUGGGUGAAAGCCUGACGCAGCAACGCCGCGUGAGUGAUGAAGGCUUUCGGGUCGUAAAGCUCUGUCGAGGGGAAAGAAGUGUACUUUGGUUAAUACCCAUUGUACUUGACGGUACCCCUAAAGGAAGCACCGGCUAACUCCGUGCCAGCAGCCGCGGUAAUACGGGGGGUGCAAGCGUUGUUCGGAAUUAUUGGGCGUAAAGCGCGUGUAGGCGGUUUGAUUAGUCUGAUGUGAAAGCCCUGGGCUCAACCCAGGAAGUGCAUUGGAUACUGUCAGACUUGAAUACGGGAGAGGGUAGUGGAAUUCCUGGUGUAGGAGUGAAAUCCGUAGAUAUCAGGAGGAACACCGGUGGCGAAGGCGGCUACCUGGACCGAUAUUGACGCUGAGACGCGAAAGCGUGGGUAGCAAACAGGAUUAGAUACCCUGGUAGUCCACGCCGUAAACGAUGAGUACUAGGUGUUGCGGGUAUUGACCCCUGCAGUGCCGCAGCUAACGCA
Molecule: ribosomal RNA, 823 nt
Filed under: bacterium SCGC AAA018-B18
Lineage: Bacteria
Description: SSU rRNA
Rfam family: Bacterial small subunit ribosomal RNA
Source: RNAcentral